RNAcentral lists this ribosomal RNA (117 nucleotides) under Scophthalmus maximus (turbot). Lineage: Eukaryota; Metazoa; Chordata; Actinopteri; Pleuronectiformes; Scophthalmidae. The record is from RNAcentral.
GCUUACGGCCACACCGCCUGGUUCCCGUCCGUCUCGUUUGAUCUCGGAAGCUAAAAUGGUUGGGCCUGGUUAGUACUUGCAUGGGAGACUGCCUGGGAAUACCAGGUGCUGUAAGCU